RNAcentral lists this unclassified non-coding RNA (240 nucleotides) under soil metagenome. RNAcentral's name for it is "partial contains 5.8S ribosomal RNA, internal transcribed spacer 2, and large subunit ribosomal RNA". The record is from RNAcentral.
AACGAGGCCGACCUGCGGCUGAGUUACCUGCGGAGGGAUCAUUACACAACAAAAUAUGAAGGUCUGGCUUCGCGGCCGGCUGAAGUAUUUUUUUUCACCCAUGUCUUUUGCGCACUUGUUGUUUCCUGGGCGGGUUCGCCCGCCACCAGGACCAAACCAUAAACCUUUUUUUUAUGUAGUUGCAAUCAGCGUCAGUAAAAACAAUGUAAUUAUUACAACUUUCAGCAAUGGAUCUCAGAU